UUAGAAAAUUCUUUAACAUCAAUUAGAAACUUGAGCCAUAUAACAGUGAUUUAAUAGCAAUUAGUCUUGUAGAAAUGUGCCAUCUGUUUUCAAUUAACCUCAGUCUGGACAGGUCACAGGAAGUACUAUCUCCACAGAGAUUGAGGCCAUAUGUAGGAGAACACAUUUCGAAAUACAUAUUUCUGCAAUUACUAUCACUUUUAUUAAAAAUUUCAUAAUUAAACAAAUUAAUAAUUGAUUUUCUUUUUUUAAUCUAUCACAUAUUCAAAAUUAAGGCACAUGCAAUUAGUCAUAAGAGGAACAUUUAAAACAACUCCUUAAACAACCUCAUGUAUUGCAAUACAACACAAUUUGAUUUUGGAAUAAACAGGAAGAUGUGUCUUCUUUCUUGAACAAAAUAAGAAUUUUACAUAAUUGUGUGUAAAGCAAAUGUUUGGAAGUAGUUCUUUUCACAUUAAAUAGAGAAGAUGGAUCCUUCUGACUGGCAUCAAUGACAAAAUUAUUUAGGAAGAUUGCUGUUUGCAUGUGUUUUGGAUUGCAUAUUCUGAUUAUAGCAAGGGAUGCAUGAUGCAAAUUAAAUCAGAAGAACCAACCAUCUGAAGAAAAACUGAGCAGUGGCGGAUCCAGGGGGAGGGUUCCGGGGGUUGGACCACCCCCCCCCCUUUAUCCUGAGUUAGGAACCCCCCUUUUGAAAAUGGCAGGAUUUGCCCCUGCUGAGAUCAUCUUUAAAAGUCAAACCGCACUUUUUGAAGUCCAGCUGGACUUUUUAAAGUUCAGCCGUACUUUGUAAAGUCCGGCUGAACUUUAUAGAGUCCAUAUUUUUGCCAUAAAUGCCGGCUGGAUUUUUAUUCAGACGUACUUUUUUUAAAGUCCAGCUGGACUUCAUGAACCGGACUCCUGCUAAUUUAAAUAUUUCGAGCCGGUUUACGGCUAAUUUCGCUGAAAGUCCAGCCGGGGUAUCUAUUAUAAGCAAUUCAAAGAAAAGUCCAAAUGAAUAUUAUAAGUACGGUUCUCAGUACGGCUA
Mytilus californianus (California mussel) is the source of this 1024-nucleotide long non-coding RNA. RefSeq lists it as uncharacterized. The transcript is spliced from 2 exons. The record is from RefSeq and is a predicted model, not a curated record. Lineage: Eukaryota; Metazoa; Mollusca; Bivalvia; Mytilida; Mytilidae.